RNAcentral lists this long non-coding RNA (422 nucleotides) under Mytilus galloprovincialis (Mediterranean mussel). The record is from RNAcentral. Lineage: Eukaryota; Metazoa; Mollusca; Bivalvia; Mytilida; Mytilidae.
CCCGAACACUGUUUUUCUUGUUAUUGUGUAAUCUUCACAACCGUAUAAGAAACCGACAAAUUUAUUUUUGCAAAUUGCUCAUUACAUCUUCAGGAUGUGCUGUUUUAUUUUGACCGAAGCCGUAUAGAGAUUCCAUAUGAGAGUUAUUUCCCCUUUUGUAUUUGAAAUUUUGAAAUGUAUUUUAAACUGGAAAACCAUAAGUGAUAGAGACCUAGGGUCUUUUGAUUUGAGAUCCUUGGUCCAAAAAAAUGAAAAUUAGGUCAAGGUCAAAGGUCAAGGUCAUAUUCUAAAUUUUGAUUUUGGCUUAUUUUCACUCAUUUUCAUUUACCUUAUCAGAUAUCGACAAAUUAUUUUUACUAAAUUGUUAGUUGCGACAUGUCGUAACAUAAUAAUUUUGGUUGAAAGGGUGCGUAGACAAUAAA